CACGGGGUUGCGAGCGUUGUCCGGAAAUACUAGGCGUAAAGGGCAGGCAGGCGGAUCCAUAAGUUUAUCGUUUAAGGCGUCGGCUUAACCGGCGUAGGGCGGUAGAUACUGUGGAUCUGGAAUGCGGUUGGGGAAGACAGAAUUCCUGGUGUAGCGGUGGAAUGCGCAGAGAUCAGGAGGAAUACCGAAGGCGAAGGCAGUCUUCCAAGCCGUUAUUGACGCUCAACUGCGAAGGUGUGGGUAUCAAACAGGAUUAGAUACCCCUGUAGUCCCUGA
This 276-nucleotide ribosomal RNA is filed under the name uncultured prokaryote. RNAcentral describes it as "partial 16S ribosomal RNA". It matches the Rfam family "Bacterial small subunit ribosomal RNA", at positions 524 to 800 of the family's 1533-position model. The record is from RNAcentral.